This 462-nucleotide ribosomal RNA is filed under the name uncultured bacterium. Its description in RNAcentral is "partial 16S ribosomal RNA". It matches the Rfam family "Bacterial small subunit ribosomal RNA", at positions 29 to 507 of the family's 1533-position model. The record is from RNAcentral.
AGUGAACGCUGGCGGCGUGCCUAAUACAUGCAAGUCGAACGGAGAUUAAGUAGCUUGCUAUUUAAUCUUAGUGGCGCACGGGUGAGUAAUAUAUAGCUAACUUGCCCAUUACUAAGGGACAACAGUUGGAAACGACUGCUAAUACCUUAUACUCCGUAUCUAUAUAAGUAGAUACGGGAAAGUUUUUCGGUAAUGGAUAGGGCUAUAUCGUAUCAGCUAGUUGGUAAGGUAAUGGCUUACCAAGGCUAUGACGCGUAACUGGUCUGAGAGGAUGAUCAGUCACACUGGAACUGAGACACGGUCCAGACUCCUACGGGAGGCAGCAGUAGGGAACAUUGCUCAAUGGGGGAAACCCUGAAGCAGCAACGCCGCGUGGAGGAUGACACUUUUCGGAGCGUAAACUCCUUUUCUUGGGAAAGAAUUAUGACGGUACCCAAGGAAUAAGCACCGGCUAACUCCGUG